UACGGAGGGAGCUAGCGUUGUUCGGAAUUACUGGGCGUAAAGCGCACGUAGGCGGCUUUUCAAGUCAGGGGUGAAAUCCCGGGGCUCAACCUCGGAACUGCCCUUGAAACUGGAAGGCUAGAAUCCUGGAGAGGCGAGUGGAAUUCCGAGUGUAGAGGUGAAAUUCGUAGAUAUUCGCAAGAACACCGGUGGCGAAGGCGGCCAACUGGUCCGAAACUGACGCUGAGGCGCGAAAGCGUGGGGAGCAAACAGGAUUAGAUACCCCAGUAGU
RNAcentral lists this ribosomal RNA (271 nucleotides) under uncultured bacterium. Its description in RNAcentral is "partial 16S ribosomal RNA". It matches the Rfam family "Bacterial small subunit ribosomal RNA", at positions 524 to 794 of the family's 1533-position model. The record is from RNAcentral.